AACUUCAGCGGUACAGUAGGUUGCUAUAAAAGAAAAUGCAAGUUCAUUACAAUUUUUUUUCCCCUCGAACAAACCGGUACAGGAUAAUAGAUAUAAAAAAAUUAUGUAGCUAAUCAUCCAAACAAAGAAACAUAUUUUGGCUUCAAAAGAAAACUUCAAAUAAUGCACCCAUUGUGUAAAGCGCCUGGACCUUGUUAUUUCCAAAAGCAGGUAAGCCACUGACUAACGCACAUUGCGCUUUUCACAUUCCACUGUGCGUGUGACAGCGGCUAACCAGCUUUUCGGGGUAUCACCAAGUCAAGUCCCCCCCCCCCCCCCCGUCAAGUCAAGUCUCGGAGACAGCCGGACCAGAAGCGACGCAGACUGCGCGGUAAUGAUGUUUCAGUCUUCACUUAAAUGGAAAGACCAUACGCGCCCCAUCCGACGCAUACUGUAGCUGACAAGGCCGAAAACUCGGGUCAUGUGGGAAAUAUCGAACCGCGAACCGUACCGUAGUGGCUGGCUCCUGUCGAGGCAUUAUCCGACACAAGACAAUGGGAAAUGCAGCAGACGGCUGUGGAGGGGAAAGGCCAGUGGAGAUUACUACCCCCGAUUAAACUGUAGUCUACUCCAACGAAACCAAAAGUUUAAAAAAGGCGAGUGACUCGUGAUACUGUGCGUUAUAUGAAUAUUCGACAGGGCUACAACGAAGGACACUUUGUCCUAAUCUGAUCAACGAAAAGUAAUCCAUAAUGCCCGGACAAAUUUGGAUUUAUUUCAGAUGUGGUGUCACAAAUGUGCAAUAAACGAAAUUAUGUAAUUGCAUUACAUAACGAACUACUCGUUUUUGGACUUGAAUAAAUUGGCUUAUCUCUA
Conger conger (European conger) is the source of this 855-nucleotide long non-coding RNA. RefSeq lists it as uncharacterized. Lineage: Eukaryota; Metazoa; Chordata; Actinopteri; Anguilliformes; Congridae. The transcript has 2 exons. The record is from RefSeq and is a predicted model, not a curated record.